Long non-coding RNA from Vidua chalybeata, 480 nucleotides. RefSeq lists it as uncharacterized. The transcript is spliced from 2 exons. NCBI's taxonomy places the organism in Eukaryota, Metazoa, Chordata, Aves, Passeriformes, Viduidae. The record is from RefSeq and is a predicted model, not a curated record.
CCCACCCAGGCAGGGAAGGGCUGGGUGGCCCCCAGGGCACAGGCCAGGCAUAGCCCUGGGCACCUGGGUGCUCUCAGGGUGCCUCCAGACCCCACUUUGCCCUCAUGUCCCUGCAGUGCAUCCCAGAGCCCCGUGGUCAGACACUCUGCCAUGCCUUUCCUUGCAGGGAUCAGCUGAGAGCAGCUGAAUAAAGCCCAGCCAUGCUUUCACCUCUGUGUGUACAGGACAGUGCGGGGAGAAAAGGGGACUAAAAAAAAGGCCAGUAACUCAGCAUGAAGAAGGGAUAGAGAUUGCAAGCUCUGAUGGAAGCUGGAGAACAGCUCUUCCCUGGAAAGGUACCAUCUGCUUAAAGACUUCCUGCAACAUGAUUCUAAAACCACAGCACUUCUCCCAUGGCUUUCUGCUGCACAGCUGAUUUUCCACAAAGCUCCAGCUGACUGGGCUGCAGCCCAUCUAUGAAGGAAUUUCAGAUACAUCUUA